This 630-nucleotide long non-coding RNA is filed under the name Polistes fuscatus (common paper wasp). RNAcentral's name for it is "uncharacterized LOC122520024". Lineage: Eukaryota; Metazoa; Arthropoda; Insecta; Hymenoptera; Vespidae. The record is from RNAcentral.
GCUCUAUUAAUCACGGAUUAUUAUUCAUGCGCCUACCACGACGGUGGCGCUUUUAGCGUCACUGACUUUUGUCGCCUCAUUGCCUUUGAGCUCGUCUCAUGUUAACUUUUUACUUUUCUUUCUCUCUUUCUCUCUUCCUUCCUCAAUCUUUUCCCCUACUCCUCGACUUUAGUCUCUCUUUCGUUUCCUCUAUCAUCUCGUUAUUCAGCCUUUAUAAUGAUUCUUUUUGGCUACUUUCGGUCCCGCUUCGUUAAAUAGCACGUGGUGUUAAAGUAACAAAUCGAAUUACCGGAUCGCAUUGUGAUAAAUAAAAUGAACAAAUCCGACUUUGUAUCAGUCGAUUGGAAAUACGGAAAUUGUAACUACAUGUUUUCCUCUAAUCUGGAUGGAUACUUGAAUCCGACACUUUGACGGAUCUGUAUUUAAUUUCAAACAGAUUAUGAAAAGGUACGAAAGAAGAAGAAGAAGAAGAAGAAGAAGUCGUCGUUGGCGCUAUCCUCGAGUCAUAAAAAAGUCAUAUCGUCUACUUAGGAUGACUUAGAUAAUUUUGAGGGAAACCCUAAUAUCAGGUAUACCUUACCUCUAAGCUUUUGGCAAGAAGAAGAAGAAAAAGAAGAAGAAGAAGAAGAA